CUCAGAUUGAACGCUGGCGGCAGGCCUAACACAUGCAAGUCGAACGGUAGCACAGAGAGCUUGCUCUUGGGUGACGAGUGGCGGACGGGUGAGUAAUGUCUGGGAAACUGCCCGAUGGAGGGGGAUAACUACUGGAAACGGUAGCUAAUACCGCAUAACGUCUUCGGACCAAAGUGGGGGACCUUCGGGCCUCACACCAUCGGAUGUGCCCAGAUGGGAUUAGCUAGUAGGUGGGGUAACGGCUCACCUAGGCGACGAUCCCUAGCUGGUCUGAGAGGAUGACCAGCCACACUGGAACUGAGACACGGUCCAGACUCCUACGGGAGGCAGCAGUGGGGAAUAUUGCACAAUGGGCGCAAGCCUGAUGCAGCCAUGCCGCGUGUAUGAAGAAGGCCUUCGGGUUGUAAAGUACUUUCAGUGGGGAGGAAGGCGAUGAAGUUAAUAGCUUCGUCGAUUGACGUUACCCGCAGAAGAAGCACCGGCUAACUCCGUGCCAGCAGCCGCGGUAAUACGGAGGGUGCAAGCGUUAAUCGGAAUUACUGGGCGUAAAGCGCACGCAGGCGGUCUGUCAAGUCGGAUGUGAAAUCCCCGGGCUCAACCUGGGAACUGCAUUCGAAACUGGCAGGCUAGAGUCUUGUAGAGGGGGGGUAGAAUUCCAGGUGUAGCGGUGAAAUGCGUAGAGAUCUGGAGGAAUACCGGUGGCGAAGGCGGCCCCCUGGACAAAGACUGACGCUCAGGUGCGAAAGCGUGGGGAGCAAACAGGAUUAGAUACCCUGGUAGUCCACGCCGUAAACGAUGUCGACUUGGAGGUUGUGCCCUUGAGGCGUGGCUUCCGGAGCUAACGCGUUAAGUCGACCGCCUGGGGAGUACGGCCGCAAGGUUAAAACUCAAAUGAAUUGACGGGGGCCCGCACAAGCGGUGGAGCAUGUGGUUUAAUUCGAUGCAACGCGAAGAACCUUACCUGGCCUUGACAUCCACGGAAUUUGGCAGAGAUGCCUUAGUGCCUUCGGGACCGUGAGACAGUGCUGCAUGGCUGUCGUCAGCUCGUGUUGUGAAAUGUUGGGUUAAGUCCCGCMACGAGCGCACCCUUAUCCUU
RNAcentral lists this ribosomal RNA (1096 nucleotides) under Erwinia sp. Its description in RNAcentral is "bacterial SSU rRNA". The record is from RNAcentral. Lineage: Bacteria; Pseudomonadati; Pseudomonadota; Gammaproteobacteria; Enterobacterales; Erwiniaceae.